CGGGCGGCGGCCGCGGUGGAGCUAGCGGGGAGAAAGAAAGGAUGCGGCCGCCUGUGUUGACUUGUGGCCUGCUGUCACAGCACGGGCUGGAGGCUAGCCGCUGCUAGCAGCCAGGGGAGGGCUCGGGCUCCGGGGCGAACAAGGGAGUCUGCGGGCUCCGAAUGUCCAGCCUGGGAGGUCGAUGCUCCUGCAGCAUCACCAGAGGAGGCUGAGAUGUUUCUCUACUAGCUUACCUGUAAAGCUUCAGCCUGAAGCUUGGCUCACUGGCUGUUGGUGUUUCUGAGCUGUUGCAGCAUCUCAUGGUCACUGAACCGGUGAUGAAAUCAUCAAACCUGUGUGCUCGUGUCUCCAGCACGGCCGCAGCAUGUUUCUAAAUGAUGAGCUAAAGCAUGGCAACAGAGUUGUGGUUUGACGCCAGAAAAAGCUCCGAUGCAGAUAAAUUCAGAUCUGUGACAUUCACACUGCUGCUCGCAGGCCUGCAGCUGGACUCAAGCUCCCAGUACCAACCCUCUAAGUCAGAUUUACCUUCACACUUACCUACAGCAUUUACAAAUUUGGGCUUUAUAUCUUUAUUAUAAAACUAAAAAACAAAUGCAUCCUUCUGUUCUGCAGUUUUUAGAUGUCCUGAAUAUAAUGGAGAAGAAUAUUGUUGAAGGAGCUUGCAGGGUUACGAGCAGGAAGUUAAAGAUGUGCUUUCCUCUGGUUAUCAUCAUUUUAGG
Long non-coding RNA from Astatotilapia calliptera (eastern happy), 719 nucleotides. NCBI's taxonomy places the organism in Eukaryota, Metazoa, Chordata, Actinopteri, Cichliformes, Cichlidae. The record is from Ensembl.